This 680-nucleotide long non-coding RNA is filed under the name Nicotiana benthamiana. RNAcentral's name for it is "long non-coding RNA (NBEN_LNC029257)". Lineage: Eukaryota; Viridiplantae; Streptophyta; Magnoliopsida; Solanales; Solanaceae. The record is from RNAcentral.
AUGAUUCAGGUUAUGCAAAACUUCAAAAAAAAGAAGAAUUGAAACUUCAAUACAGUCCCAAAAAGGAGCACUUGAUAAUUUUUUAUCAAGUAAUAAAAAUUCUAAACUAGAAAAUAUGGGAGAAUGUUCUUUGAAUGAGCAAGUUACUAAUCUAGUUGAGUUAGACGAUAAUAAAAUCCAAGAAAAAGAAGAAGCUAGUGAGAAAUCUGACAUAGAUCCUCAAAAAAAUCAAAAACUUUUAAAUGAAUUGAAUACUUGCAUUCCUAUAAAUAUGUAUGAUCCUAAUCAAUGAACUAAUAUAGAUUCAAAAAGCUAAAAAUAUAAUCUUUAAAUAAAAAGAAUAUAUUAUAAUUUUUUUUAGAAGAACUUAAGGUCCCUAAUUACAGUUUGGCUUUAGGCCCCAAACUCUGUUGAGCCGCCUCUGCCAUAGACCCCUAACUUCAAUAGUGUUGGUGUCAGAAGAAUCAAAGCCUUGAUAGGUUGAUUUAGCCUUCAAAAUUUCUGCACAAAAUCUCAGCUUUUACUAUCAUGCACACAGUAAACAAAGAUAUUAUAUAAUAAAAGCAUUCAUUAUUUACACUUCCAUCAAGUGAUCGAUAUAUAUAGAUCCCCAGAUGUAUUUGUAGGGCAGACCCGGUCUUAUAUUAAUGGAACGAAUACAAGUUGUUGCUUUGGCGGAG